UAAAAGUCAGGUCGGAUUAAGCCAUAGUACGGAAAAAACUAUGCUACCUGUGAGCCCCGUCCAAGGACGUUAAAAGAAGUCAGGCCAUCACAAAUGCCACAGCUUGAGCAAACUGUGCAGCCUGUAGCUCCACCUGAGGAGGUGUAAAAAACCCGGGAGGCCACAAACCAUGGAAGCUGUACGCAUGGCGUAGUGGACUAGCGGUUAGAGGAGACCCCUCCCUUACAAAUCGCAGCAACAACGGGGG
This 247-nucleotide long non-coding RNA is filed under the name dengue virus type 2. Its description in RNAcentral is "Dengue virus type 2 partial sfRNA1". The stretch from base 156 to 227 matches the Rfam family "Flavivirus DB element". The record is from RNAcentral. Lineage: Riboviria; Orthornavirae; Kitrinoviricota; Flasuviricetes; Amarillovirales; Flaviviridae.